Molecule: ribosomal RNA, 497 nt
Filed under: uncultured bacterium
Lineage: Bacteria
Description: partial 16S ribosomal RNA
Rfam family: Bacterial small subunit ribosomal RNA
Source: RNAcentral
GAUGAACGCUGGCGGCGUGCCUAAUACAUGCAAGUCGAGCGAACAGACGAGGAGCUUGCUCCUCUGACGUUAGCGGCGGACGGGUGAGUAACACGUGGAUAACCUACCUAUAAGACUGGGAUAACUUCGGGAAACCGGAGCUAAUACCGGAUAAUAUAUUGAACCGCAUGGUUCAAUAGUGAAAGACGGUUUUGCUGUCACUUAUAGAUGGAUCCGCGCCGCAUUAGCUAGUUGGUAAGGUAACGGCUUACCAAGGCAACGAUGCGUAGCCGACCUGAGAGGGUGAUCGACCACACUGGAACUGAGACACGGUCCAGACUCCUACGGGAGGCAGCAGUAGGGAAUCUUCCGCAAUGGGCGAAAGCCUGACGGAGCAACGCCGCGAGAGUGAUGAAGGUCUUCGGAUCGUAAAACUCUGUUAUUAGGGAAGAACAAAUGUGUAAGUAACUAUGCACGUCUUGACGGUACCUAAUCAGAAAGCCACGGCUAACUACGUG